GUCUCCGUGGUGCAAUCGGUCAGAGCGUUCGGCUGUUAACCGAAUGGUUGGUGGUUCAAGCCCACUUGGGGACG
This 74-nucleotide transfer RNA is filed under the name Stylophora pistillata. RNAcentral's name for it is "tRNA-Asn". It matches the Rfam family "tRNA". Rfam says of the family: Transfer RNA (tRNA) molecules are approximately 80 nucleotides in length. Their secondary structure includes four short double-helical elements and three loops (D, anti-codon, and T loops). The record is from Rfam by way of RNAcentral. Lineage: Eukaryota; Metazoa; Cnidaria; Anthozoa; Scleractinia; Pocilloporidae.